UUGCUCCUGGCAGUCUCUAGCUCCUAUUUGAAGGGGACUUGCAUACAUCAAACCCUUGUUUUCAAAUCCACGUGAAUCCAGGCAUUUCUGGAAUCCAUUUGAGUCUGUUGCAAGAAUUUCACAUUCCCAAGCCCAUCAUCCAUCAGUCUCUCUCCCUCUGUCUGAUACAGAAAAUCAAGUCAGGCAACUCCUAGGAGACAGACUUACUGGGAAGAGGCCAAUGGGAUGGCAGAAAGAGCAUGAAGACCCUGGACUUCAGAUACCUCUGCUGUGAGGAAGGAACAUCCACUGACGACUUGUGGAAAUGCCAUAGAGGAUACCUAGUACACGUCAGGGGAACAAAAGCGGCAAGUCUUCACCAAUUAGCCUGGUGA
Molecule: long non-coding RNA, 374 nt
Filed under: Fukomys damarensis (Damara mole-rat)
Lineage: Eukaryota; Metazoa; Chordata; Mammalia; Rodentia; Bathyergidae
Description: lncRNA (ENSFDAG00000031790.1)
Source: RNAcentral